CUCUUGUGUAUCUUUCAAUUUUUUGCCAAAUGUGGGUAGGUUAACACCCUCAAACGCCAAUAUAUAGCAUAAUUUUAAAUAUCUAUGUAUAAUUCCAUUGCUUGGGUUAUGUACAGUGAUUUUAACCAUCUCCUAUAGUUAACAUUUCAGUGCUAUAUAAACAGUACUGAGAAAUAUCCUUGCUACUCAUCCGUGGAAAGGGAUCUAAGAAAUACCAAAGUGCAAAAGGCAAGGUAUGGAAUCAUAUGCAUGGCAUGGCCUCAUUUGAAAAAGAAAAAGGGGGGGGCGGAUAAAAUAGACAUUAUUUUUGGCUACCAAAGGAUGGUUGUAGACCACCACAAAAUCAAUCAAUUGCCGUGUGUGGUGAAGAAUGACACACUGAAAAAAUUGCUCCUGAUGUGAUAUUAAGCCCCAGUGGAGAUAGAGCUCCUGACCAUGCAGCCAGAAGACUGUCUACUGUGAGCUUGGCUCUGUAAAUCAGCUCUACCAAAUCAUAGUUUCAGGUGGACCCCAUAGCAACCCGCUGUAAGAUGGAAAUGGUACACCUGGGAUUGGGCACAAGCAGGCCAGAGAGCAUAACUAAGCUGCACAAAACAGGUGGUCCAGGUCCCCAUGUUAUGCACCACUGCUGCACUGACACCUCGACUUCAGUUCACACUAUGGCUGCAUGGGAGGUUUCCUUAUGACCAGCUGACAGAGGAGGAGAAAAACCAAGCAUGGUUCACGGAUGGGUCAGCUUGGUAUGUAGGAGCAAGAUGAAAAUGGACCUCAGCUGCAUUACAGUUCGCUCAGGGAUGACCUUGAAAAACAGCAGUCAGGGAAAAUCUUCCUAUUUGGAAAUGCUUAGGAUAAUGUACUGCAUUACCCACUUUGUGUGGAAAGAGAAAGGGCCCGAGGUCAGAGUAUAAUCACAUUCAUAGUCAGUGGAGAAUAGCUUGACCAAGUGGUUAGGGGCCUGGAAAGAAAAAGACUGUAAGAUCAAAGAAAAUGAGGCUGAGGUAGAGAUAGGUGAAUGGACCUACAGUCACAAAAUAUGAAGAUAUUUAUAUCUCAUGUUAAUGCUCACCAGAAAGUGUCCAUUACAGAGGAAGCCCUAAGCAAGCAAAUAGAUAGGAUGACUCAGCCAGCUGACGUCAGCCAGACUUUGUCAUUGACCACUCCUGUGCUUGCAUAAUUUGUUCGUAAACACAGUAGUCAUGGUGACAGAGAUGGAGGCUAUGAAUGAAUCCAACAGUAUGGGCUCUCAUUCACCAAGGUUGAUCUACCAACUGAUGCUGCUGAAUGUUCAACCUGCCAGCAAGAAAGAUGACAACUGAACCCCUGAUUUGACACCAUCCCUCAAGUAGAUCAUUCAGCCUCUUUGAGGUGUAAUACAUGAGUCUGGAAAUGAAGAAGUGGAAGUAGGAAUGACCCUGCUUUGUGCAUCCCAUCCCCUCAACUCUGGGCUCUAUGAGUUUAGAAAUCCUGGUUUCCAAAGGGGAAUGCUUCCACCAAGAGACACAACAGGAGUCCCAUUGAACUUCAAGCUACAGUUGCUGCCUGAGCAUUCAGACUCCUAUGUCGAGAGAUCAGCAGACAUGAAGAGAAGUCACCAUCUUGGCGGGGGUAGUAGACCCCAAUAAUCAGCAGGAAGUUGGGAUUCUGUUACACAGUGAGAGCAGAAAGGACCAGGUUUGGCACCCAAGCAAUCCACUUGGGUAUCCCGUGGUGCUUCCUUACGUGAUUUUGUAAAUGGAUAAGUACAUCAACCACAGCUUAAAAAGAGUAUUGGUACCAGGGCCCAAGAUCCCUCAGGUAUAAGGGUCUGGGUCACCUCACCGGGUAAACCACCUAGACUAGCAGAGGCACUAACUGAGGAUGAGAGGAAUCUAUGUUUGGAUAGUAGAAGCCAGAGACAAUGAGUAUAGUUGGGGCCUCAAGAUCAGCUGCAGUGGUGGAGGCUGUAUUUGGUCCCACUCUUCUCUCCUUACAAGCUUCCCUCAGGAAAAGAGGCCCACCAGAACCUGGAAGGCCUGUGUCCGCUUACACAACUAAGUGAUUCCAAAGGGCACAAAAAGUGGACUGUAGAGGACACAGUGAUUCACUUCCCAUAUGGGAAGUGAAGGACUCAUUCCCCCAAGCCACUGGGACUUUUCUCUAAGAAGCUUCCUCAGCUGAAGAGAGCGAUUUUGCCCGAGGUCACUUCUCAGGAUAGCUUGCAUCCAAAGACUGGUUGAUAUUGUGGUAUAAAGGCCUGGCCACCUCACUCCAACUCAGGACACCUCCGAAGUGCUAACCUAGCUUCAGAGCUCCUCAUGGAAUUGGUUGAAGCAUUUGUUGAAACUGCAUCAGAGCCCAACUUCUCCCUCUCCCCAAUCCUGCUACCUUUGCUUUCCCACAUGUGUUGAUCCUGAGGGCACUCUCAUAAACGUCCUGCGCGCCAACCUCCAUCUCACAGCCCACUUCCUGGGAACCCCACCCUGAAACAAUGCCCAUGUGUACAUACAAAAUUUCUGGAAGAAUACACAAGAAGUUGUUAAAUGUAAUUAUCGCAGAGUAGUAGGACUGGUGGUUGGGGAUUAUGGGAAGAAGACCGUUUCUUUUUUAAUAAAAAAAUAUUAAGUAUGAUUAUUAGUGAAAGCUAACAAAGAGUCAAAGAAAAAAAAGAGGGAGAUUUUACUUCACUUUCUUUUCUUCCUAGAUUGCUCUGCUGCCACAUGGUAAGCAAUCUAAAAUUUAUUGAAGUAAAUUAUUUUUAUCCCUUGGGAAAAAGCACACUAUAGUGCCACUGCUAAAACAUCACAGUGUGCCCCAAAAGAAAAAUGGACAAAUAUGAACAGACAAUUCACAAAAAAGGAAAUUCAGUUAGGUAAUAAAUAGUUAAAAACAAUAUUUACUUCAUGAGUAUCAGUGAAAUCCCAAUUAAAAUGUGAUUAACUAAUAAAAGAGUUCAAUUAAGAAUCCUAAUCAGGGACCAGCCCUGUGGCCGAGCGGUUAAGUUCGUGCUCUCCGUUUCAGCGGCCCAGGGUUUCGCCGGUUCAAAUCCUGGGCACGGACAUGGCACUGCUCGUCAAGCCACACUGAGGCAGUGUGCCACAUGCCACAAGUAGAAGGACCCACAACUAAAAAUCUACAACUAUGUACCAGGGGGCUUUGGGGA
Long non-coding RNA from Equus caballus (horse), 3139 nucleotides. NCBI's taxonomy places the organism in Eukaryota, Metazoa, Chordata, Mammalia, Perissodactyla, Equidae. The record is from Ensembl.